RNAcentral lists this ribosomal RNA (253 nucleotides) under uncultured bacterium. RNAcentral's name for it is "partial 16S ribosomal RNA". It matches the Rfam family "Bacterial small subunit ribosomal RNA", at positions 524 to 776 of the family's 1533-position model. The record is from RNAcentral.
UACAGAGGGGGCAAGCGUUAUUCGGAAUUAUUGGGCGUAAAGGGCGCGUAGGCGGCUUGGUAAGUGGGUGGUGAAAUCCCUCGGCUUAACCGAGGAACUGCCGUCCAAACUGCUUCGCUUGAGUCCGGGAGAGGUGAGUGGAAUUCCCAGUGUAGCGGUGAAAUGCGUAGAUAUUGUGAGGAACACCAGUGGCGAAGGCGACUCACUGGACCGGUACUGACGCUGAUGCGCGAAAGCGUGGGGAGCAAACGGG